This 73-nucleotide transfer RNA is filed under the name Felis catus (domestic cat). It matches the Rfam family "tRNA". Rfam says of the family: Transfer RNA (tRNA) molecules are approximately 80 nucleotides in length. Their secondary structure includes four short double-helical elements and three loops (D, anti-codon, and T loops). RNAcentral also lists the same sequence under 2 other names. The record is from Rfam by way of RNAcentral. Lineage: Eukaryota; Metazoa; Chordata; Mammalia; Carnivora; Felidae.
ACCUGACUGGCUCAGUUGGAGGAGCAUGUGACUUUUGAUCUUGUAGUUGUGGGUUCAAAAUCCAUGUCAAGUA